ACGGCUCAGUAACACGUAGUCAACCUACCCUUGGGACGGGGACAACCUCGGGAAACUGAGGCUAAUCCCCGAUAGGCGGGGGACGCUGGGAUGCCCCCUCGCCCAAAGCUCCGGCGCCCGAGGAUGGGACUGCGGCCUAUCAGGCUGUUGGUGGUGUAACGGACCACCAAACCUACGACGGGUACGGGCGAUGGGAGUCGGAGCCCGGAGAUGGGGACUGAGACAAGGCCCCAGGCCCUACGGGGCGCAGCAGGCGCGAAAACUCCGCAAUGCGCGCAAGCGUGACGGGGGGACCCCAAGUGCCGUUGGUCUUUCGAUCGACGGUUUUUAGGAAGUCUAAGAAGCUUCCAGAAUAAGGGCUGGGCAAGACUGGUGCCAGCCGCCGCGGUAACACCAGCAGCCCAAGUGGUGGCCACGAUUAUUGGGCCUAAAGCGCUCGUAGCCGGAUCAAUAAGUCCCUUGUGAAAUCGGGCCGCCCAACGGUUCGGCGUGCAAGGGAUACUGUUGGUCUUGAGGCCGGGAGAGGUCGGAGGUACUCCUGGGGUAGCGGUGAAAUGCUCUAAUCCUAGGGGGACCACCAGUGGCGAAGGCGUCCGACCAGAACGGACCUGACGGUAAGGGGCGAAGGCUAGGGGAGCGAACGGGAUUAGAUACCCCGGUAGUCCUAGCUGUAAAGCAUGCGGGCCAGGUGUCUAGCGCUCCUUGAGGGCGCUAUGUGCCGGAGGGAAGCCGUUAAGCCCGCCGCCUGGGAAGUACGGUCGCAAGGCUGAAACUUAAAGGAAUUGGCGGGGGAG
This 794-nucleotide ribosomal RNA is filed under the name uncultured archaeon. RNAcentral describes it as "bacterial SSU rRNA". It matches the Rfam family "Archaeal small subunit ribosomal RNA", at positions 85 to 876 of the family's 1478-position model. The record is from RNAcentral.